GUUCUUAAAUCUGAACCUAAUUAUCUAAGGAAGAUGAUUAUCAUCCUCAGAAAUUUUGCAUUAUUCACUGUAUUUUUUAUUAACGUAUUAGGGAUCCUUCUGUUUAUCGUCACAAAAUUUCAAAACGCAGAAUCGUGAAGAAUUUAAGAUGGGAAUUAGAUGAGAAUGAAAGCGCGGUGCUGACAUGGAUACUCGACAAUGCUUCUACACAAGUGGAAAUGGUUCAGUCUCUUAUGAAGAAGACAGUUGCGGAACGAACGCAACGACAAGAUUCAAAGAUGGAGAAUAAAGUGUGUCAUAAGUGUGGGAAAUUUAAAAAGUUUGAGAAAGCAGCAGCGAAGGUGGUAAUCGAACUAGAUGUCAUUAGAAGGUUUAAAGCUGGUAAUUCGGGAAGUAGUCAAGUUAUAUCCCAGGACAGGGAUGAAAUACUGUGUCAAGCCGUUAGGAGGAAGUUUCAAAAUCCGCAGAGAACAACCAGUCCAUCUUCGCUGGUUGGGAAGGUUGAAUCUGUUGGUUCCAGAGAAAUCGUCUCUUGUCAACGAAGAGAACAUGAGUAUCAGCCAACUGAGGGCAUCAUGCAGCCAACGACACCGACCGGAAUGGAGGCUACUUCCAUUCAGGAUUGGAUUGCAAACAGCCACAAUCUUCGAAACAAGUUUUUAGUGUCUUGCAGUUGCUAAGAAUCGGUGUAUCAGACAGCAUAUACAGUUCCGGUUUGUGGCUUUACCAACCUCUAAGCGAAUCUGUAACGCAUGAUUAUUUUGAAUUACAGUAGCUUUCUGCUGCAAGAGCUCUCCUUGGUCAUUUUAACUGUUCACGGAUCUUACUGUGGUAGGCAAACCUUAUGGACUUAUGUUUUAAAACGUACUUCUAUGCCUACUUCGACAUUGUUGUUUUUGUCUCUGGUUCAAUAGUUGAUUUCUUAGGCUGAUGAUUUUGGUCGAUAAUAAUUUGCACGUUCGAUGAUAUAUGCCAGCAUUUUGGAUGUCAUUGAAUAUUUGAAUCUGAAUUCCAUGCAAUAUGUGUUUUUGCAGAUGCACAUUUUUGUUUACGAAGAUUAUUAGGUAAACAAUAGGAGCAUUGAUAUCAUUCUUUACCAUUCAGCAUGUUUGUUGACUGUUUGAAGCUUUGCUUAAGGUUAACAAUUAAUGGCGUCUUUUAAUCUUCAAUUGGACUUUGAAGUGGCUGGACGAGAGAUGCGAAUGUCUUCUUGCACUGGUUCUCGGCAGUACCUUUUACCGGUGGUGGCUUUACUGAUGCUGCAGUUAGAGAAGGGCUUUCCGAAGCACUAAUGGUAGGGUAUAGAGUUUUGAUGGUAGUAGUAUUCUUUAAAAACCAUUUCGUACUGUCUCUACAGCGAAUUCAUUUUGUAGCGCAUAAUCAUAAUUUAUUUUUAGCGUCUUCUUCAUAAUAUUGGUUGAGUUCUUACCCAUCUCUUUUCUAAGUGGAACCUUUGUCUUCAAGAUUUAUCUGGAGGUGUUUGCGAAGAAUUGGAAUGGGAAAGUGUUUAGAGUAAAUGAAAUUUUGUUUGGGAAGGGGUCUUGGGUAUGUCGUGCUAGUUGGCGUGACAAAUUAAUCUAGUUACAUGAUCCAAAUGAUUUAUAAUUCGUUGCCAGUUCAGAUGUUUGUAGAAAUGAACAAGCAUUAUUCUUGUGGCUGGUCUUGGGUAUGUCGUGCUAGUUGGCGUGACAAAUUAAUCUAGUUACAUGAUCCAAAUGAUUUAUAAUUCGUUGCCAGUUCAGAUGUUUGUAGAAAUGAACAAGCAUUAUUCUUGUGGCUGCCGGCAACCCUUACUCCCUGCCCACCCCAGUAUACCGGCCAAAAAUCCCAAAUCUUGAUCAGAGUGAAAACAAAGAAGUGGGACCAGAAAGUUGUCUCGCAGAUGCUAAAACAGUUGCAGAAUCAUUUGUCAGGUAAGAAGGAUAUCACGUGGAACUGGAAAAGUGUUGGCAGUAAAUUUGAUUUUAUUAAGAAAUUUUAGCUGGUGGGUCAGAAAAUUCUCAUCUGGCAAGAUAGGGUACAACUGUACAGGAAAUCCACCAGUUCCUGCGGCAACUGCUUCUUCUCCUUCUGGUUUCAUUUUUGUUCCUGAUCUUAUUGAUUCUGAGAAUCAUGAAUGAAAACAAGAUAUAAGUUGAUGUGGACUAGAAACAGAAAUUUGCACUGUUAAGUCAGUCUAAUAGAUCAUGUACAAUUCGUACCUUUAAUAGAUCCCUAAUCUUUCGUUUCAUCUGUAUAAAAAAGAAAACAACAUCCUCAUUUUUACUAAUCUAAUGCCAGGAACAUGCUU
Papaver somniferum (opium poppy) is the source of this 2290-nucleotide long non-coding RNA. RefSeq lists it as uncharacterized. NCBI's taxonomy places the organism in Eukaryota, Viridiplantae, Streptophyta, Magnoliopsida, Ranunculales, Papaveraceae. The transcript has 4 exons. The record is from RefSeq and is a predicted model, not a curated record.